This 440-nucleotide ribosomal RNA is filed under the name uncultured bacterium. Its description in RNAcentral is "partial 16S ribosomal RNA". It matches the Rfam family "Bacterial small subunit ribosomal RNA", at positions 338 to 795 of the family's 1533-position model. The record is from RNAcentral.
CCUACGGGAGGCUGCAGUGGGGGAUAUUGCACAAUGGGCGAAACUCUGAUGCAGCGACGCCGCGUGAGUGAAGAAGUAUUUCGGUAUGUAAAGCUCUAUUAGUAGGGAAGAAAAUGACAGUACCUGACCAAGAAUCCACGUCUAACUACGUUCCAGCAGCCGCGGGAACACGGAGGGGGCCACCGUUAUCCGGAUUUACUGGGUGUAAAGGGAGCGUAGGCGGUUUUGUAAGUCCGUAGUGAAAUCCCGGGGCCCAACCCCGGAACUGCAUUGGAAACUGUGGAACUGGAGUACAGGAGGGGCAGGCGGAAUUCCUGGUGUAGCGGUGAAAUGCGUAGAUAUCAGGAGGAACACCGGCGGCGAAGGCAGCCUGCUGGACUGAAACUGACGUUGAGGCUCGAAAGCGUGGGGAGCAAACAGGAUUAGAUACCCUAGUAGUC